UUAAGCUACUAAGGGCAAAUGGUGGAUGCCUUGGCGAUGACCGGCGAGGAAGGACGUGGCAAGCUGCGAUAAGCUGCGCGAAGCCGCUAACAGGCAUUGAUGCGCAGAUUUCCGAAUGGGGAAACCCUAAACACCCUCUAUGAGGGAGCGAACUCAGGGAAGUGAAACAUCUCAGUACCUGAAGGAAAAGAAAGUAAUAACGAUUCCGUAAGUAGCGGUGAGCGAAACCGGAAGAGCCUAAACCUAGCUUUCGGGCUAGGGGUUGUGGGGCCUGCAACAUGUACGCAUGAAUCUAGUAGAACAGUCUGGAAAGGCUGACCAAAGAGGGUGAUAGUCCCGUAUGCGAAAGUGAAUUGCGGCUAGCGGUGUCCCCGAGUACCACGGAGAAUGAGAAGCUUUGUGGGAAUCUGGGAGGACCAUCUCCUAAGGCUAAAUACGUGUCAUCGACCGAUAGUGAACCAGUACCGUGAGGGAAAGGUGAAAAGAACCCUUGUUAAGGGAGUGAAAUAGAACCUGAAACCAUUUGCCUACAAGCCGUCAAAGCAUCUUAUGAUGUAAUGUCGUGCCUUUUGCAUAAUGAGCCUGCGAGUUAUCGUAUGCAGCAAGGUUAAGCAGUUAUGCGCAGCCGUAGGGAAACCGAGUCUUAAUAGGGCGCAAGUUGCAUGCGGUAGACCCGAAGCCAGACGAUCUAUCCAUGGGCAGGAUGAAGUAACUGUAAUAGGUUAUGGAGGUCCGAACCGGUAAACGUUGAAAAGUUUUCGGAUGACCUGUGGAUAGGGGUGAAAGGCCAAUCAAGUUUGGUGAUAGCUGGUUCUCCUCGAAAUGCAUUUAGGUGCAGCCUUAUGCGUUCCCUGUUGGGGGUAGAGCACUGUUUUGGCUAGGGGGCAUACCGCUUACCGAACCUUGACAAACUCCGAAUACUGACAGGUUAGAGCAUGGGAGUGAGACUGCGGGUGAGAAGGUCCGUAGUCGAGAGGGUAAGAGCCCAGACCGCCGGCUAAGGUCCCGGAGUGUAUGCUAAGUGGUAAAGGAUGUGAGAAUACUGAAACAGCCAGGAGGUUGGCUUAGAAGCAGCCAUCCUUUAAAGAAAGCGUAACAGCUCACUGGUCUAGUGUUUUUGCGCCGAAGAUAUAGCGGGGCUAAGCAUACCACCGAAGCCGCGGACUAGUAUUUAUACUAGUGGUAGAGGAGCAUUCUGCACAGCUUUGAAGGUAAUGCGGCAAGCAUUGCUGGAGCGUGUUGAAGAGAUAAUGCAGGCAUUAGUAGCGAUAAAAAGGGUGAGAAACCCUUUCGCCGAAAACCUAAGGUUUCCACCGGCAGGGUAAUCCGCGGUGGGUUAGUCGGCCCCUAAGGCGAGGGUGAAAACCGUAGUCGAUGGGAAACAGGUCAACAUUCCUGUACCUGUAUAUGUGCGUUUGACGAUGUGGUGACGGAGAAGGUUAGGCAGUCCGGGUGUUGGACGUCCCGGUUUAAGGUUGUAGGGAGUUCCGGUAGGCAAAUCCGCUGGAAUAAUUCUGAGAACUGAUGACGAGUCUUUGUAAUGAAGAUGAAGCUGUUGAUACCAUGCUUCCGAGAAAAACCUCUAAGGAGUACAUAGCAGACCGUACCGCAAACCGACACAGGUAGGUAGGGAGAGAAUCCCAAGGCGUUCGAGAUAACUCCAGUUAAGGAACUCGGCAAAAUGCCACCGUAACUUAGGGAUAAGGUGGGCUCCUAGUAAUUGAAUGGACUUGCUCCAGUAGGUGAAAGGAGUUGCAGAUGAGAGGCCCAGGCGACUGUUUAUCAAAAACACAGCACUCUGCUAACUGGCAACAGGAUGUAUAGGGUGUGACGCCUGCCCGGUGCUGGAAGGUUAAUAGGAGAUGUCAGCGCAAGCAAAGCAUUGAAACGGCGGCCGUAACUAUAACGGUCCUAAGGUAGCGAAAUUCCUUGUCGGGUAAGUUCCGACCUGCACGAAUGGCGUAACGAUCUGGGCGCUGUCUCAACUGGAAUCUCGGCGAAGUUGCAUUAGCGGUGAAAAUGCCGUUUACCCGCAGCAGGACGGAAAGACCCCGUGCACCUUUACUACAGCUUGGCAAUGAUAUUUGGUAUUAAAUGUGUAGGAUAGGUGGGAGACGUAGAGACGUGGACGCUAGUUUGCGUGGAGUCGCCCUUGAAAUACCACCCUUUUGGUGCUGAAUAUCUAACCUGGACGGUGUGUAGCCGUAGGGACAUUGUCUGGCGGGUAGUUUGACUGGGGCGGUCGCCUCCGAAAGAGUAACAGAGGCGCGCGAAGGUAUCCUCAGGUUGGUCGGAAACCAACUGUCGAGUGUAAAAGUAUAAGGAUGCUUGACUGCGAGACCUACAAGUCGAGCAGGUGCGAAAGCAGGCUUUAGUGAUCCGGUGGUUCCGCAUGGAAGGGCCAUCGCUCAACGGAUAAAAGGUACGCCGGGGAUAACAGGCUGAUCUCCCCCAAGAGUUCACAUCGACGGGGAGGUUUGGCACCUCGAUGUCGGCUCAUCACAUCCUGGGGCUGAAGUAGGUCCCAAGGGUACGGCUGUUCGCCGUUUAAAGUGGUACGCGAGCUGGGUUCAGAACGUCGUGAGACAGUUCGGUCCUUAUCCGCUGCGGGCGCAGGAGAUUUGAUGGGAUCUGACCCUAGUACGAGAGGACCGGGUUGGACAGACCUCUGGUGCGUGGAUUGUUCCGCCAGGAGCACGGUCCAGUAGCCAAGUCUGGAAUAGAUAACCGCUGAAAGCAUCUAAGCGGGAAACUAACCUAAAGAUAAGAUCUCCCCUGAGCGCACUUGGAGACUACAAGAUUGAUAGGCUGGGUGUGUAAGCACUGUGAGGUGUUGAGCUAACCAGUACUAAUAGCGCGAUGGGCUUAGCGUA
RNAcentral lists this ribosomal RNA (2873 nucleotides) under Deferribacterales bacterium Deferri_01. Its description in RNAcentral is "bacterial LSU rRNA". It matches the Rfam family "Bacterial large subunit ribosomal RNA". The record is from RNAcentral. Lineage: Bacteria; Pseudomonadati; Deferribacterota; Deferribacteres; Deferribacterales.